GAUUGCGGAAUAUACAAACUUGAUGAUAAAGUUGGUGUAAAAAAUAUGAUGAAGGACCUCUAUCAAAUUCUAAAGCCAAGCCGAAAAUUGCUCUUCUACUUUGCAAACUUGAACUCGGCGUUCCUUACCUUUUCCGCCGGUGAUAUUUAUUCUCCUAUCGCAGACUUCGUGGACUAUUUUGUUAUGGAUUCCUUCGGUCAAGCUGGCCGUUGGUCAAUGUCAAUUGAUGUGCCUACAAAUUUGAAAAAGCUGGUCUGUUUAAAUGUCCCCCUCUCAUUGAUAUUUAAUUUUGAAAUAUAGAAGACAUCCUUUGAUUUUUUCAAAAACAAAAUCAAAAACAACAAAGACGUGGUGCAAAAGAUUUUGAUUCUGUUGAAUGUUGGAUGCCUGACUUUCGAAUUAAAAACACCAAACGCGCACAAAAUCGGUUCUGGAUUUGUGCAAAAAUCAAAUUUAUCACCUUUGACAUCCUUUGCAGACGUAUGCGAGGCAGUGAGAAAUAACAAUUUCACCGUGGUUAAAGAUAUAGCGACGCAGCAUUACGCCUACAGAGACAAGGUGUGGUAUGCUUUCGACGACUACCAGUCUCUAUUAGAAAAGGUCCGCUUCUUGAAAAGCAUUGAUGGAGCCGGUUUCGGGCUGUUCAACACGGACAUGGACGACGUGAAAAAUCGGUGCGGCUGCGGCAAAAUGCCCUUCUUGCGGAUGAUCGGCGAGCUCCUGAAGGGAGGUGAAUGCGAGCUGGACCGCUGCCCAUAGCUCCUAGUACCGCAAUAAUUGAUAGUGAUUACUCACAUUGUCUUGAUCUGGAACACCAGCAGGCCGUUGCGCAAAUUUGCUUCGAUUCUAAUUAUGUCAGCGGCGUGCAAAAACAAUGUAUUAUAAAUCGUC
Long non-coding RNA from Cloeon dipterum, 891 nucleotides. RefSeq lists it as uncharacterized. The transcript has 4 exons. The record is from RefSeq and is a predicted model, not a curated record. Lineage: Eukaryota; Metazoa; Arthropoda; Insecta; Ephemeroptera; Baetidae.